GAGGCUGUAUCUGUGGCAGAACGGUACUCCCGGAGUAUUUUUGGCAUGAUUGGUGUAUCAAUAAGGCAAUAGUGCAAGGACAAAAAUCUGCUCAGAGCCUUUGUGGACCGAGACAGAAGG
Brevibacillus sp. CF112 is the source of this 120-nucleotide non-coding RNA. NCBI's taxonomy places the organism in Bacteria, Bacillati, Bacillota, Bacilli, Caryophanales, Paenibacillaceae. The record is from Rfam.